ACCCAUUUGGCGGAAUUGGUAGACGCGCUAAUCUCAAAAAUUAGUUAUUAUUAGUGCUGGUUCAAGUCCAGCAAUGGGCA
Molecule: non-coding RNA, 80 nt
Organism: Genlisea aurea
Lineage: Eukaryota; Viridiplantae; Streptophyta; Magnoliopsida; Lamiales; Lentibulariaceae
Source: Rfam